CGGACUUGUAUUCCGAUUUUUCGGGUACAGCCAAACACUCUCACUUUGUGUAAAUAACACACACGUAUCGACACAUAUUCCGGGGUGCCCUUUGGGGUCGGUAAUAUGGGAUACGUGGAGGCAUAACC
RNAcentral lists this small RNA (128 nucleotides) under Cedecea davisae DSM 4568. Its description in RNAcentral is "t44 RNA". The stretch from base 40 to 127 matches the Rfam family "t44 RNA". From Rfam's summary of the family: This family consists of a number of bacterial RNA genes of between 135 and 170 bases in length. The t44 gene is found between the map and rpsB genes in all species in the full alignment apart from Shigella flexneri. The record is from RNAcentral. Lineage: Bacteria; Pseudomonadati; Pseudomonadota; Gammaproteobacteria; Enterobacterales; Enterobacteriaceae.